RNAcentral lists this ribosomal RNA (484 nucleotides) under uncultured bacterium. Its description in RNAcentral is "partial 16S ribosomal RNA". It matches the Rfam family "Bacterial small subunit ribosomal RNA", at positions 28 to 522 of the family's 1533-position model. The record is from RNAcentral.
GACGAACGCUGGCGGCGUGCUUAACACAUGCAAGUCGAACGGUGAAAGCGGAGCUUGCUCCGCUGGAUCAGUGGCGAACGGGUGAGUAACACGUGGGCAACCUGCCCCUCACUUCGGGAUAACUCCGGGAAACCGGGGCUAAUACCGGAUAUGACCUCCUUGGGCAUCCUUGGAGGUGGAAAGUUUUUCGGUGAGGGAUGGGCCCGCGGCCUAUCAGCUUGUUGGUGAGGUAGUGGCUCACCAAGGCGACGACGGGUAGCCGGCCUGGGAGGGCGACCGGCCACACUGGGACUGAGACACGGCCCAGACUCCUACGGGAGGCAGCAGUGGGGAAUAUUGCGCAAUGGGCGAAAGCCUGACGCAGCAACGCCGCGUGCGGGAUGACGGCCUUCGGGUUGUAAACCGCUUUCAGCAGGGAAGAAGCCGCAAGGUGACGGUACCUGCAGAAGAAGCACCGGCUAACUACGUGCCAGCAGCCGCCGAA